AGAGUUUGAUCCUGGCUCAAAAUGAACGCUAGCGGGAGGCUUAAUACAUGCAAGUCGCACGGCAGCAUUGAUAUAGUAAUAUAUUAGAUGGCGAGUGGCGCACGGGUGAGUAACGCGUACACAACCUACCCUUAAGAGGGGGAUAACUCAGAGAAAUUUGGGAUAAUACCCCAUAAUAUCGUUUAUAUGCAUAUAUGGAUGAUUAAAGUUCCGGCGCUUAAGGAUGGGUGUGCGUUAGAUUAGGUAGUUGGUGAGGUAACGGCUCACCAAGCCGACGAUCUAUAAGGGGCGUGAGAGCGUGAUCCCUCACACGGGUACUGAGACACGGACCCGACUCCUACGGGAGGCAGCAGUAAGGAAUAUUGGACAAUGCCCGCAAGGGUGAUCCAGCCAUCCCGCGUGCAGGAAGACUGCCCUAUGGGUUGUAAACUGCUUUUAUCAGGGAAGAAACCCCUUGACUUGUUAAGGGUUGACGGUACCUGAUGAAUAAGCACCGGCUAACUACGUGCCAACAGCCGCGGUAAUACGGAGGGUGCAAGCGUUAUCCGGAAUCACUGGGUUUAAAGGGUGCGUAGGCGGCUUAAUAAGUCAGAGGUGAAAGACUACAGCUUAACUGUGGCACUGCCUUUGAUACUGUUGAGCUGGAAUCAGGUUGA
Molecule: ribosomal RNA, 656 nt
Filed under: uncultured Bacteroidota bacterium
Lineage: Bacteria; Pseudomonadati; Bacteroidota
Description: bacterial SSU rRNA
Rfam family: Bacterial small subunit ribosomal RNA
Source: RNAcentral